GAGUACUCAGAAGGGGACUGCCUCAACAGUGGGGAGAAAUUAGCCAUAGAUUAAAGACUGCCCUGGCUUUGUCUAUAAACAACAACAAAAGUCUUUAAAAGAUCAAACCGUUUCCAAGUAACUAAACUGAGUCCCAAAACACAGCUCGAGAAUAGUGAAAGGAAUAUAAAAAUAUCCAGGAUAAAAUUCACAAUGUCUGGCAUCCAAUAAGAAGUCAUCAAGCAGACAAAAACAAACAAACAAACAAACAAAACCCAGAAAAA
This is a long non-coding RNA of Orcinus orca (killer whale), 263 nucleotides long. RefSeq lists it as uncharacterized. The transcript is spliced from 2 exons. The record is from RefSeq and is a predicted model, not a curated record. Lineage: Eukaryota; Metazoa; Chordata; Mammalia; Artiodactyla; Delphinidae.